GCUGCCUCCUGAAGCCGACUCAAGGACUGGGGACUUGGUGGAUCUAUGGCAUUAGUACCCACAGAGGUCACCUGCACAGACAAAUCUGUCGCCACCCUUCAACCCUGGCCUACCGGAUCUGCGGGGAGAAAUGCAGCAUUUGAAUUGGGGAGUGUUCAAUCCUGCUCUGCGGGAUUUACAAAUAUCAGCUACAACCCAGCCAUGAGAAGGUCUCAUACAGUCAGAGGACUUUGCGGGAAGCACACUCCCUCCUUGUUUUGGGUUACAAGGAAAGCCCAGGAAAGCUAGUCCCAGAAGGCCUGGGUCAGCUACACCCAGUUCACCCAUGCUCAACCCGGAACAGCCGACCCAAACGGUCAGGAAGGACUUUCUGGAAGCCCAUCUCCGUAUGCUCACCAGCCCACCCUCCUACGCUGGUCAGAGUGAGAUUGCUAACCUCAAGACCCCAUUCAAUGCCAGCUUUCAACUGCUGCUGAAGACCAAUGUAGGUCCUGGAUUAGAAGAACCGCAGAGUAUCCGGAGCUGGCCGACCCCAGACUGAUUCUCAACAGGUGGCUGGGUAGUGCCCCCCCCCCUGCUCUGUGUUGGUCGUGCCGGGACCCAUCGCACACAGAGAAGCCACCUUACCCCUCACCUCACCCCGUCGGCCCAAAGACUGACCACCCUCGCCCGAGUCGGGGGGUGGGGUGGGAAUCCCGGAUCACACACACACACACACACACACACACACACACACACACCAGGGUAGGGGAACAGGGAGGAUCUUACCUGCAGAAAGGUAAGAGAAGCCGGGAGCGUGUA
This 801-nucleotide long non-coding RNA is filed under the name Mus caroli (Ryukyu mouse). Its description in RNAcentral is "lncRNA (MGP_CAROLIEiJ_G0013489.1)". Lineage: Eukaryota; Metazoa; Chordata; Mammalia; Rodentia; Muridae. The record is from RNAcentral.